Molecule: ribosomal RNA, 2963 nt
Filed under: human gut metagenome
Description: bacterial LSU rRNA
Rfam family: Bacterial large subunit ribosomal RNA
Source: RNAcentral
CCACGGGCGCACGGCGGAUGCCUUGGCACAGGGAGCCGAUGAAGGACGCGGCAAGCUGCGAUAAUCCCCGGCGAGGAGCACACAUCCUUCGACCCGGGGGUCUCCGAAUGGGCGAACCCAUCCACAGCAGUGUGGAUAUCCCCACCCCGAACACAUAGGGGCGGGGAGGACAACCCGGGGAACUGAAACAUCUAAGUACCCGGAGGAGAGGAAAUCAAUCUCGAGACUCCCCGAGUAGCGGCGAGCGAAAGGGGACCGAUGGCCAAACCGUCGAGCGGGCAUACCCGGCAGGGGUUCCGCCGACGGGGUUGCAGGGCCGCGCAUCCGGGGGCUGCCGCCCCCGGGCGCAGGUCCGGCUGGGGAGCGGAACGGCAUGGGAGGGCCGGCCGCAGCGGGUGACAGCCCCGUACGCGAACCCAGACCGGACGGCGCGACGCGGUCCCUGAGUAGGGCCGGGCACGUGAAACCCGGUCCGAACCUGGGUGGACCACCAUCCAAGCCUGAGUACUACCCUGUGACCGAUAGCGCACCAGUACCGUGAGGGAAAGGUGAAAAGCACCCCGGGAGGGGAGUGAAACAGUACCUGAAACCGUGCGCCCACGAGCAGUCGGAGCACCUAUAUGGUGUGACGGCGUGCCUUUUGUAGAAUGAGCCAGCGAGUCGCUGGCGCGGGGCGAGGUUAACCGAAAGGGAGCCGGAGCGAAAGCGAGCCUUAACAGGGCGACUUGAGUCCCGCGCCGCGGACGCGAAGCCGGGUGAGCUAUCCGUGGGCAGGCUGAAGCGGGGGUAAGACCCCGUGGAGGGCCGAACGCACGUCGGUUGAAAACGGCGGCGAUGACCUGCGGAUAGGGGUGAAAGGCCAAUCAAACCCGGAGAUAUCUCGUUCUCCCCGAAAUAGCUUUAGGGCUAGCGUCGCGCGUUCACCGCCGGAGGUAGAGCACCGGAUGGACGAGGGGGCUUCGCCGCCUACCGAAUCCAACCGAACUCCGAAUGCCGGCGGCCCAGAGCGCGGCAGUCAGAGCAUGUGGGCUAAGCUGUGUGCUCGAGAGGGAAACAGCCCGGACCGCCCGCUAAGGUCCCCAAGUUCCAGCCGAGUGGCAAAGGAUGUGCGUCCGCCCAGACAACCAGGAUGUUGGCUUAGAAGCAGCCAUGCAUUCAAAGAGUGCGUAACAGCUCACUGGUCGAGUGGACAUGCGCCGACAAUACACGGGGCUAAGCUGGACACCGAAGCGGCGGGAUUUUAUCUAUAUAGAAUCGGUAGGGGAGCUUCCCAUGGGCGGUGAAGCCGCCGGGCGACCGGCGGUGGAGCGCAUGGGAGUGAGAAUGCUGGCAUGAGUAGCGAGAGACGAGAGAGUAACUCGUCCGCCGUGAACCCGAGGUUUCCUGGGCAAGGCUAAUCCUCCCAGGGUCAGUCGGGGGCUAAGGCGAGGCCGGUAGGCGUAGCCGACGCGCAGCAGGCAGACAUUCCUGCACCGCGCACGCGGCGCUACGACCGACGGGGCGACGGAUGGGGGUGGCUCGGCGGGGUUCUGGACGUCCCCGUGAUGGAGCGCGGCCCGCGGACCAGGGAAAUCCGGUCCGCACGAGGGCGAGGCUCCGGACGAAGCGAUCAAGCGAAGCGAGUGAGCCCGAGGUCCCUAGAAAAACCCCUAGGCAGGCGCGUGCGCGCCCGUACCGCAAACCGACACAGGUGGGUGGGUAGAACAUACCGAGGCGAUCGGGUCAACCAUGGUCAAGGAACUCGGCACAAUGGCCCCGUAACUUCGGGAGAAGGGGUGCCCGCGCGUACGUGAACCGGCUUGCCCGGGGAGCGGAGGCGGGCCGCAGUGGAGAGGCCCAAGCGACUGUUUACCAAAAACACAGGACUCUGCAGAAGCCGCAAGGCGACGUAUAGGGUCUGACGCCUGCCCGGUGCCGGAAGGUCACGCGGAGGAGUUAGCCGCAAGGCGAAGCCCCGAAGCCAAGCCCCGGUAAACGGCGGCCGUAACUAUAACGGUCCUAAGGUAGCGAAAUUCCUUGUCGGGUAAGUUCCGACCUGCACGAAAGGCGCAACGACUUGGGCGCUGUCUCGACCAUGGACCCGGUGAAAUUGCACUGGUCGUGAAGAUGCGACUUACCCGCGGAAGGACGGAAAGACCCCGUGAACCUUCACUGCAGCUUGGCAUUGGCCGCUGGUCCCGCGUGUAGAGGAUAGGCAGGAGGCGCAGAUCCGGAGGCGCCAGCCCCCGGGGAGCCGCCCUUGGAAUACUGCCCUCGCGCGACCGGCGUCCUAACCCGAGGCCGUCAACCGGCUCGGGGACCGUGCCAGGCGGGCAGUUUGACUGGGGCGGUCGCCUCCUAAAGGGUAACGGAGGCGCGCGAAGGUCCGCUCGGGACGGUCGGCAACCGUCCUUUUGAAUGCAAGAGUACAAGCGGGCUUGACUGCGAGGCCCACAAGCCGAGCAGGUGCGAAAGCAGGCUCUAGUGAUCCGGCGGCCCCGAGUGGGUGGGCCGUCGCUCAACGGAUAAAAGGUACUCCGGGGAUAACAGGCUGAUCUUGCCCAAGAGUCCACAUCGACGGCAAGGUUUGGCACCUCGAUGUCGGCUCAUCGCAUCCUGGGGCUGGAGCAGGUCCCAAGGGUACGGCUGUUCGCCGUUUAAAGCGGUACGCGAGCUGGGUUCAGAACGUCGUGAGACAGUUCGGUCCCUAUCCUCCGUGGGCGCAGGAGAAUCGAUGGAGGCUGCCCCCAGUACGAGAGGACCGGGGUGGACGCACCUCCGGUGAACCGGUUGUCGACCAACGGCACGGCCGGGUAGCCGCGUGCGGCGCGGAUAACCGCUGAAGGCAUCUAAGCGGGAAGCCGUUCCAGGGAUUAGUUCUCCUUCCGGUAAGGGCCCAGGUAGACUACCUGGUCGAUAGACGGCAGGUGCAAGGACGGCGACGUCCUCAGCCGAGCCGCACUAAUCGCCCGAGCUCUUCCGGA